This 1314-nucleotide long non-coding RNA is filed under the name Brassica napus (rape). RNAcentral describes it as "long non-coding RNA (BNAP_LNC007255)". The record is from RNAcentral. Lineage: Eukaryota; Viridiplantae; Streptophyta; Magnoliopsida; Brassicales; Brassicaceae.
UAAUCUCAAAUACUUCUAAUCUUAAAUGUCCCUAAUCUAUAAUGUUUCUAAUCUCAAAUACCUCUAAUCUCAAAUGUCAUACUUCUAAUCUCAAAUAUCUCUAAUCUCAAAUGCCCAUAAUUUAGAAUGCCCAUAAUCUUAAGUGUCUCUAAUUUCAAAUACCCCUAAUCUCAAAUGCCCAUAAUCUAGAAUACCUCUAAUCUUAAGUGCCUCUAAUCUUAAGUGCCUCUAAUCUAGAAUGCCCCUAAUCUCAAAUACACCUAAUCUCAAAUGCCCCUAAUCUCAAAUGCCCAAUGCCCUUAGUCUCAAAUAUCCCUAAUCCCAAAUGUCCAUAAUCUAGAAUGCCCCUAAUCUCAAAUACCCAUAAUCUUAAAUACCCCUAAUCUAGAAUGCCCCUAAUCUCAAAUACCCCUAAUCCCAAAUGCCCUUAAUCUCAAAUGCCCUUAAUCUUAAAUACCCCUAAUCCCAAAUGUCCAUAAUCUAGAAUGCCCCUAAUCUCAAAUACCCAUAAUCUUAAAUACCCCUAAUCUAGAAUGCCCCUAAUCUCAAAUACCCCUAAUCCCAAAUGCCCCUAAUCUCAAAUGCCCUUAAUCUUAAAUACCCCUAAUCUAGAAUGCCCCUAAUCUAGAAUGCCCCUAAUCUAGAAUACCCCUAAUCCCAAAUACCCCUAAUCUAGAAUGCCCCUAAUCUCAAAUACCUCUAAUCCCAAAUGCCCCUAAUCUCAAAUGCCCAAUCUCAAAUACCCCUAAUCCCAAAUGCCCCUAAUCUCAAAUGCCCUUAGUCUCAAAUAUCCCUAAUCCCAAAUGUCCAUAAUCUAGAAUGCCCCUAAUCUCAAAUACCCCUAAUCUCAAAUGCCCCUAAUCUCAAAUGCCCAUAAUCUCAAAUACUCAUAAUCUAGAAUGCCCCUAAUCUCAAAUACCCCUAAUCUCAAAUACCCAUAAUCUAGAAUGUCUCUAAUCUCAAAUGCUCCUAAUCCCAAAUGCCCAUAAUCUAAAAUGUCCCUAAUCUAGAAUAUCACUAAUCUUAAAUGCUCAUAAUCUCAAAUAUCAUAAUCUCAAAUGCCCCUAAUCUAGAAUGCCCUAAUCUCAAAUGUCUCAUGCUCCUAAUCCCAAAAUGUUUCUAAUCUCAUAUGCCACUAAUUUCAAAUACACCUAAUCUUAAAUGUCCCUAAUCCCAAAAUGUUCCUAAUCUCAAAUACCCAUAAUCCCAAAUGCCACUUAUAUCAAUUACCCCUAAUCCAAUAUAAUCCUAAUACCAAAUGCAUCUACUCUCAUAUACCCCUCAAUCAUCCCUAAUCCACAAUAUCCUUAAUCC